GUGAGGAAUAUUGGUCAAUGGGCGAGAGCCUGAACCAGCCAAGUCGCGUGAAGGAUGAAGGUUUUAUGAAUUGUAAACUUCUUUUGCAGGGGAAUAAAGUACGGUACGUGUACCGUUUUGUAUGUACUCUGCGAAUAAGGAUCGGCUAACUCCGUGCCAGCAGCCGCGGUAAUACGGAGGAUCCAAGCGUUAUCCGGAUUUAUUGGGUUUAAAGGGUGCGCAGGCGGGUUGAUAAGUCAGCGGUGAAAGUUUGCAGCAUAAAUGUAAGAUUGCCGUUGAAACUGUCGAUCUUGAGUGCAAAUGAGGUAAGCGGAAGGUGUUGUGUCGCGGUGAUAUGCUUAGAUAUAACACAGAACACCGAUUGCGAAGGCAGCUUAAUGGGAUGCAACUGACGCUCAUGCACGAAAGCGUGGGGAUCAAACAGGAUUAGAUACCCUGGUAGUCC
This 445-nucleotide ribosomal RNA is filed under the name uncultured bacterium. RNAcentral describes it as "partial 16S ribosomal RNA". It matches the Rfam family "Bacterial small subunit ribosomal RNA", at positions 354 to 796 of the family's 1533-position model. The record is from RNAcentral.